UGGGGAGCGAACCGGAUUAGAUACCCGGGUAGUCCACGCCGUAAACGAUGGAUACUAGCUGUUGGAGGUAUCGACCCCUUCAGUAGCGAAGCUAACGCGUUAAGUAUCCGCCUGUGGAGUACGGCCGCAAGGCUAAAACAUAAAGGAAUUGACGGGGACCCGCACAAGCGGUGGAUUAUGUUCUUUAAUUCGAUGAUAACCGAAGAACCUUACCAGGGCUUGACAUCCAGGGAAGGUCUGCGAAAGUAGACUGUGCCUUUUGGAACCCUGUGACAGGUGAUGCAUGGCCGUCGUCAGCUCGUGUCGUGAGAUGUUAGGUUAAGUCCUUCAACGAGCGCAACCCUUGUGAAUAGUUGUAUUUUUCUAUUCAGACUGCCCCGGUAACGGGGAGGAAGGAGGGGAUGAUGUCAGGUCAGUAUUUCCCUUACGUCCUGGGCUAGAAACGUAAUACAAUGGCUAGUACAAUGCGCAGCGAAGCCGCGAGGUGAAGCAAAUCGCAUCAAAGCUAGUCCCAGUUCGGAUUGUAGGCUGAAACUCGCCUGCAUGAAGUCGGAAUCGCUAGUAAUCGCAAAUCAGCAAGUUGCGGUGAAUACGUUCCCGGGUCUUGUACACACCGCCCGUCAAACCAUGAAAGUGACCAACACCCGAAGUCCGAUUCGUCGGCCUAAGGUGGGGGGCAUGAUUGGGGUU
This 690-nucleotide ribosomal RNA is filed under the name uncultured Candidatus Saccharibacteria bacterium. Its description in RNAcentral is "bacterial SSU rRNA". It matches the Rfam family "Bacterial small subunit ribosomal RNA", at positions 762 to 1482 of the family's 1533-position model. The record is from RNAcentral. Lineage: Bacteria; Candidatus Saccharimonadota.